AGUGAACGCUGGCGGCAGGCCUAACACAUGCAAGUCGAGCGGCAGCACAGCAGUAGCAAUACUGUGGGUGGCGAGCGGCGGACGGGUGAGGAACACAUCGGAAUCUACCUUCUUGUGGGGGAUAACGUAGGGAAACUUACGCUAAUACCGCAUAAGACCUGAGGGUGAAAGCGGGGGACCGCAAGGCCUCGCGCGAGAAGAUGAGCCGAUGUCCGAUUAGCUAGUUGGUGAGGUAAAGGCUCACCAAGGCGACGAUCGGUAGCUGGUCUGAGAGGAUGAUCAGCCACACUGGAACUGAGACACGGUCCAGACUCCUACGGGAGGCAGCAGUGGGGAAUAUUGGGACAAUGGGCGCAAGCCUGAUCCAGCCAUGCCGCGUGUGUGAAGAAGGGCCUUCGGGUUGUAAA
This 407-nucleotide ribosomal RNA is filed under the name uncultured bacterium. Its description in RNAcentral is "bacterial SSU rRNA". It matches the Rfam family "Bacterial small subunit ribosomal RNA", at positions 29 to 429 of the family's 1533-position model. The record is from RNAcentral.